UCUACGGGCCCGUGCUUCCAAUCUCCU
Molecule: non-coding RNA, 27 nt
Filed under: Mus musculus (house mouse)
Lineage: Eukaryota; Metazoa; Chordata; Mammalia; Rodentia; Muridae
Source: RNAcentral